UGCAUUCACUAAUAUAAGUCGCUCUGGAUAAGAGCGUCUGCUAAAUGACUUAAA
This is a non-coding RNA of Salmo salar (Atlantic salmon), 54 nucleotides long. Lineage: Eukaryota; Metazoa; Chordata; Actinopteri; Salmoniformes; Salmonidae. The record is from Rfam.